Molecule: ribosomal RNA, 489 nt
Filed under: uncultured bacterium
Lineage: Bacteria
Description: bacterial SSU rRNA
Rfam family: Bacterial small subunit ribosomal RNA
Source: RNAcentral
UUGAACGCUGGCGGCAUGCCUUACACAUGCAAGUCGAACGGCAGCAUAGAAGAGCUUGCUCUUCUGAUGGCGAGUGGCGAACGGGUGAGUAAAGCAUCGGAACGUACCGUGUAGUGGGGGAUAACGUAGCGAAAGUUACGCUAAUACCGCAUACGCACUGAGGUGGAAAGCAGGGGAUCGCAAGACCUUGCGCUAUACGAGCGGCCGAUGUCAGAUUAGCUAGUUGGUAGGGUAAAGGCCUACCAAGGCGACGAUCUGUAGCGGGUCUGAGAGGAUGAUCCGCCACACUGGGACUGAGACACGGCCCAGACUCCUACGGGAGGCAGCAGUGGGGAAUUUUGGACAAUGGGGGAAACCCUGAUCCAGCCAUGCCGCGUGAGUGAAGAAGGCCUUCGGGUUGUAAAGCUCUUUCGGCUGGGAAGAAAUCGCACAGGCUAAUACUCUGUGUGGAUGACGGUACCAGCACAAGAAGCACCGGCUAACUACGUG